AGCAGCCGCGGUAAUUCCAGCUCCAAUAGCGUAUAUUAAAGUUGUUGCAGUUAAAAAGCUCGUAGUUGAAUUUCGGGAUUGACACAUCGGUCGUGCCUUAAGGGGUAUGAACUGGUGUAGUCAAUUUCUCACCUUCUGGAGAACCGCGAUGCCCUUAAUUGGGGUGUCGCGGGGAACCAGGACCUUUACUUUGAAAAAUUAGAGUGUUUAAAGCAGGCAUUUUGCUUGAAUACAUUAGCAUGGAAUAAUAAAAUAGGACGGCAUGAUUCUAUUUUGUUGGUUUCUAGGAUCACCGUAAUGAUUAAUAGGGAUAGUUGGGGGCAUUAGUAUUCAAUUGUCAGAGGUGAAAUUCUUGGAUUUAUUGAAGACUAACUACUGCGAAAGCAUUUGCCAAGGAUGUUUUCAUUAAUCAAGAACGAAAGUUAGGGGAUCGAAGACGAUCAGAUACCGUCGUAGUCUUAACCAUAAACUAUGCCGACUAGGAAUCAGACGAUGUUAAUUUUUAAUGUACUCGUUUGGC
RNAcentral lists this unclassified non-coding RNA (520 nucleotides) under uncultured Entrophospora. RNAcentral's name for it is "SSU rRNA". It matches the Rfam family "Eukaryotic small subunit ribosomal RNA", at positions 569 to 1084 of the family's 1831-position model. The record is from RNAcentral. Lineage: Eukaryota; Fungi; Glomeromycota; Glomeromycetes; Entrophosporales; Entrophosporaceae.